GUCCGUCAUUGGCUCACACGCAUGCAUCGAGGUCAGGAUGACCGAGUCGCCGACGCCGAAGACCGGCGUGCGGCGUGCAGGGCGGAGGGCGGUCCGGAUGGUGUCACACCCCCGUCGUCGUCGGAGAAACGCGGUGCCGACGGCGACGGGAGCACUAGCACGUGCAAGGGGGGCGGCACGCUUCGCCUGCCCCCGCUGAACAUUCAGUUGACGGAUCACCCGCUUGAGUCUGUGUCGUCGACGCACCGGGCGGACCGCCUGCUCAAGCCAGCCAGCCCGUGGGCACGCGAGCUCGACUUUAGCGACCGCGCCUAUACCCCCCACACCGUCUUCAUACUGCUCAGCAUUCUUAUGUCCAUCUUGCUCAUGUUGCGGUACUACUAUUACCCCAACAUGGGCGUGGCGGCGAAAGUGAAGGUUGGCCUCUCCGCUGCUGCCUUUGUUUUUAUUGGCUUUGGUGCGGUACACCUUCCCGACUCCCUAAUGGUACGACCCCACCCGGCUGUGUGGCGUGCCGUCCUGGCGCUUGGCGUGCUAUAUCUGGUGUUCCUCACCUUUAUGAUAUUUCAGGACCUGGAGACGGUGCGGAAGAUAAUGGGCUACUACGAUGCUUCCCUGUUGAACAAGCUGCCAGAGCGCACCUACGCGCAAGACUGCCGCAUGAGCACCGAGGAGGACCCCUGGUUCUUUGUCCACACCUCCUUCGACGUCUUCCUCCUCGCUCACUCGCUCGGCUACGUCAUCAAGAUGCUCAUACUGCGGGACUGGCGCAUGGUGACGGCCGUGUCGCUCGGCUUCGAGGUUGUGGAGGUGACCUUUCAACACGUGCUGCCGAACUUCAGCGAGUGCUGGUGGGAUCAUAUCGUACUCGAUGUGCUGAUCUGCAACGCGGGCGGGAUGCUGGUAGGGAUGUGGCUGCUGCGGCAGCUGAACGCGAAGCAGUACAAGUGGAUCGCUCUAAAGGAGAUUCCAACCGUGAAGGGGAAGGCGAAGCGGCUCCUUGAGCAGCUGGGGCCGCGCAGCUUCGAGCGCUACAACUGGAACAUCUUCCAGAGCCCGACGCGCUUCUUCCAGGUCACCGGCAUCCUCCUCCUGAUGCUGCUUCAGGAGCUGAACUGCUUUACAAUGAAGGCGAUCCUGCAUAUGGCGCCAACGCAUCACAUUGUGACAUGUCGACUGGCCCUGUGGGCGCUGCUCGCCACUUCGUGCCUGCGAGAGCUGUACGAGUACAUGACAAACCCGCGCAUCAAGCGCAUCGGCACAACGGCGUGGGUGGCGAUACUUGGCAUGGGCAUGGAGACCAUAUGGAUCACAAAGAUGGCCGUCGAGGGGCAGUACUUCCAAGACGCGGUCAUGCCCACUCACGUCGCGGUGCCGUGGAUGGUUGCCAUCGCCGCGUUUGGGAUUUGGCUGGUCUUGUACUUUGGUGUCUUGUCCCUGGAGCAGCGCAAUCGCCGUCGCGGUGCGGCGUACCUACUCGUGAACCUCUUCUUCUACGCGGCUGCUGUGUGUGUGCUGGCGCUGUUCCUAAUGGGUCUACCCGAUCUACAGAUUGGUCGGCAGGCAUUCGAGUCGGCGAUGGCGCCGUAUGAGCGGUACAUCUUCCUUUGGCGCUAGCGCUGGCAGAACGAGAGGUAGAGAAGGCGACGGACAAACAGGGGGAAGGGUGGACAGCUAGCAUGCAGGCUGCGUAGUUAGCAUGCGCGCGCAUGGGCCAUGCCAGCUGCUCGCGUCUGCGCCAUCUUCCUUCUCUCAUCUCUUUCUCAUAUCAAGUUCCCCCGUUGGGGCUGCGUUUCUUCGCUUCGACUUCGCUCCCUGAUGAUGCCGGGCCGUCUGACCGUGGCAUCACAGGGCCCAGCAUCCCGCCCCUUGCUGGGAAGCCGAGCAGCCUGCACAGCCAGCCCUCGAAUUGCGGCUUACGGGCUCUUGGUGCCGGCGAGCCGGUCUGGGUUGGCGCUGCGCCAAGGAGGCUGGCGGUAGUGAUCACGCUUGGUCCAGCGCACUACGAAUCGCGUCGGUGACUCAACGAGUAUAUGCCUCCGCUUCCUGCUGCUCUGCUUUGGCUGCGUUGCGGUGAUGUGGAGUGUAAGCCUGGACCCUAGCCUGCGCCGCAUGCAGUGGAGGUGCAGUGGGCCUGAACGACACCCAACGGCGCUGGUUGGGCCGGCUCCUUGACGCAGCCGUGGUGCGAACGAGCUCGGUGAGGUGCUGUUGUGCGCACAUAUAUAUAUAUAUAUAUGCAUCUGUGUGUGUGUGUUAGCUUGCUCGUGGUAGAGUGGCGCUGUGAAAGAUGGGCGUAUGCGUGACUUCUUCAUGUGCCUUACUGGUUGGUCGUCACAUGAGUCGCUAAU
This 2351-nucleotide unclassified non-coding RNA is filed under the name Leishmania donovani. RNAcentral describes it as "gene:LdHU3.14.1620(CDS-product:phosphatidylserine _synthase_putative)". The record is from RNAcentral. Lineage: Eukaryota; Euglenozoa; Kinetoplastea; Trypanosomatida; Trypanosomatidae.